RNAcentral lists this long non-coding RNA (836 nucleotides) under Marmota monax (woodchuck). Lineage: Eukaryota; Metazoa; Chordata; Mammalia; Rodentia; Sciuridae. The record is from RNAcentral.
CUAUUACUGAAUCGGAAAUGAAAACAGCAAUAGAGAAAUUUGCAAGUAACAAGCCUCCCGUGGUGAUGAGUACCAGUUGGAAUAGGAUAAAGCUUUUGAGAGCGAAUCAAAGGAUCUGUUAUGCAGGAUUUAUGAGGAAUAUCUACUUAUGAGACCCAUGAAAGCACCAGUGCAAGGGCCUUUGUUCUUAUAAUCUGUCACAAGUACCAACGUUGGUCCUGUUUGCUUAAUUAAUUGCACUGGGGGGAAAAAAAGCCUUCCAGGUAGUAAGUGAAUAGAAUAAAUUCAAGUUGAGAUUGGUGGUGGUUUCUCGCAUGGCUGCACUUACAAUAUGUGCAAAAUUAUAAUACGUGUAAAGUUGUGUGUAAAAUUAUAAUAUGUGUAAAUUUUCUAAUUUAAAAGUGUCAGCAAACAGAUUUAAACCUCCCUUCUCUGGCACUUUACAAAUUUGCACAGGAAACAUUUAUCAUGUAGAAAAAGAAUAUUUACAAAGGCUCUCAAGCAAACUUCAUUUCAAGAACUUGAGUAAAUGAAAUAUAAAGCAAGAACUCCUGUGUACCACCCUAUUCACCAGGAAAGAGCUGCUUUCUUUCUGGAAUAAACACCUGGGAUAUAGACACCUCUUCACUCCAUUUAGUCUGUUGACAAAAGAAGUUUAUGUUCGAUUCAAUAGUGCAGUGAUUUAAAGGUAAGCCAACUACCCUUGGUGACUUCAUUUUGCAGCAAUGGGUUCAUUCGCCUUUUUCAAAUUACUUUUAAAAUGUUACUUCAUCAAAACUCACCAGAAUUUGCAAGCAAACACUUAACAAUAACAACAACAACAAAAAAAAAAGACA